GACGAACGCUGGCGGCGUGCUUAACACAUGCAAGUCGAACGGAAAGGCCCUGCUUUUGUGGGGUGCUCGAGUGGCGAACGGGUGAGUAACACGUGAGUAACCUGCCCUUGACUUUGGGAUAACUUCAGGAAACUGGGGCUAAUACCGGAUAGGAGCUCCUGCUGCAUGGUGGGGGUUGGAAAGUUUCGGCGGUUGGGGAUGGACUCGCGGCUUAUCAGCUUGUUGGUGGGGUAGUGGCUUACCAAGGCUUUGACGGGUAGCCGGCCUGAGAGGGUGACCGGCCACAUUGGGACUGAGAGACGGCCCAGACGCCUACGGGAGGCAGCAGUGGGGAAUAUUGCACAAUGGGCGGAAGCCUGAUGCAGCAACGCCGCGUGCGGGAUGACGGCCUUCGGGUUGUAAACCGCUGUCGCCUGUGACGAAGCGUGAGUGACGGUAAUGGGUAAAGAAGCACCGGCUAACUACGUG
This 468-nucleotide ribosomal RNA is filed under the name uncultured bacterium. RNAcentral describes it as "partial 16S ribosomal RNA". It matches the Rfam family "Bacterial small subunit ribosomal RNA", at positions 28 to 507 of the family's 1533-position model. The record is from RNAcentral.